GUUCCCAUGCAGAGACCGAUGCCUCUGGUUUCUACUGUGACAUCACCAGCAGGAAGAGAGUCUGAUGUCAUCUGCUGUGGGGCAGGAAUUAAGCUUGAUUCCUGAGGCUGCAGAACCCCCUGUGGAUGGUGAAGGGCUGUUGGCACAGAGCAGAGGCUGUGGAGGAUCCACCUGGGCAGAGGGCACCCUCAGAAGGAGAGCUAAGUGAGAACCCUCAGCACCCCAUGCUGUGCCCUGGGGAGCAACACUAAAAAGAGGAGGAUGGGGUCCCAGCCUUGAGCAGCUGCAGAACCACCUGUGGGAGAGGCCUGGAGAGCAGGGAGGUGGGAAGGAAAUUCAGCCAGCUCAAGUGUGUUCAGGGAGCAGGGGACUCACCAGAGGGCAGCCUCCAGGGAGCACUGAGAGUGCAGGGGCCUCCCACAGGGAAAAGGCACUAGGAAUGGAGUGAAUGUGAGAACAUAUUCACCAUCAGUCCAGCCUUUUAUACACCAGAUAGAUCCUACUGGAACAAGAUAUCAGGGGUGUAGUAAAAGUCAAAAAUCUUUAGAAGAAAUGCCAAACACAUUGCACACCUAAGAGUCAACAUUGGAGAAAAGCCUUUCACAUGCAGUGAAUGUGGAGAUGGUUUUAGGCAAAUUCCACACCUGCUCAGCAUCACAGGCUCCUUGGUACAGAAAGUAUUUUUGUGUGUGUGCAAUGAUUAUGGUAAGGUCUAUAGCCACAAGUCCAGUCUGAUUUUUCAUGUGUUCUCACCCUAGUCAGGGUGGUGAGUCAGCCUGCCCACACUACAAUCUCCAGGCACGUGACUGAAGAGUAACUAACCCAUUUUAACAGCCAUGGUAAACUCAGUGCUAGAACUCUUCAGAAAAGUCCUGGCAAGCUGCAAACUGAAGGGCAGAGCACAGUAAGUGAGCCACACCUGUCAGGUGGGCCUGGGAUGCCUGGACAGAUAAAGGAGCAGUUCACUGUGAUUCUUUCCUCAGCACAACAGAGGCCAACAUUACGAGGGUAUCUGCACAAGCACAGAACAUAUCACUGGAUGAAAUCCAGCACUUUCUAAGAUCAAAGCAACAUGAAAGUUACACAGGAGGAACACAA
RNAcentral lists this long non-coding RNA (1098 nucleotides) under Marmota monax (woodchuck). The record is from RNAcentral. Lineage: Eukaryota; Metazoa; Chordata; Mammalia; Rodentia; Sciuridae.